Molecule: non-coding RNA, 136 nt
Organism: Hordeum vulgare subsp. vulgare (domesticated barley)
Lineage: Eukaryota; Viridiplantae; Streptophyta; Magnoliopsida; Poales; Poaceae
Source: Rfam
AAUGUACUCCCUCCGUCCAAAAAUUAUUGUUUUGAAUUUGUUUAAAUAUGGAUGUAUCUAGUCACCUUUUAGUAUCUAGAUGCAUUCAUAUCCAGAAAAAUUCAAGACAAAAUUUUUAAGACGGAGGAAGUAUUAC